AAACUUUCAACAACGGAUCUCUUGGUUCUCGCAUCGAUGAAGAACGCAGCGAAAUGCGAUAAGUAAUAUGAAUUGCAGAUUUUCGUGAAUCAUCGAAUCUUUGAACGCACAUU
RNAcentral lists this ribosomal RNA (113 nucleotides) under Debaryomyces nepalensis. Its description in RNAcentral is "5.8S rRNA". It matches the Rfam family "5.8S ribosomal RNA", at positions 1 to 112 of the family's 154-position model. From Rfam's summary of the family: 5.8S ribosomal RNA (5.8S rRNA) is a component of the large subunit of the eukaryotic ribosome. It is transcribed by RNA polymerase I as part of the 45S precursor that also contains 18S and 28S rRNA. Functionally, it is thought that 5.8S rRNA may be involved in ribosome translocation. The record is from RNAcentral. RNAcentral also lists the same sequence under 3 other names. Lineage: Eukaryota; Fungi; Ascomycota; Pichiomycetes; Serinales; Debaryomycetaceae.